This 893-nucleotide ribosomal RNA is filed under the name uncultured bacterium. RNAcentral describes it as "bacterial SSU rRNA". It matches the Rfam family "Bacterial small subunit ribosomal RNA", at positions 8 to 916 of the family's 1533-position model. The record is from RNAcentral.
AGAGUUUGAUCAUGGCUCAGGAUGAACGCUGGCGGCGUGCCUAAUACAUGCAAGUCGAGCGAACCACUUCGGUGGUGAGCGGCGAACGGGUGAGUAACACGUAGGUGAUCUGCCCAUCAGACGGGGACAACGAUUGGAAACGAUCGCUAAUACCGGAUAGGACGAAAGUUUAAAGGUGCUUCUGGCACCGCUGAUGGAUGAGCCUGCGGCGCAUUAGCUAGUUGGUAGGGUAAAGGCCUACCAAGGCGACGAUGCGUAGCCGACCUGAGAGGGUGAACGGCCACACUGGGACUGAGACACGGCCCAGACUCCUACGGGAGGCAGCAGUAGGGAAUCUUCGGCAAUGGGCGAAAGCCUGACCGAGCGACGCCGCGUGAAUGAUGAAGGCCUUCGGGUUGUAAAAUUCUGUUAUAAGGGAAGAACGACUUUAGUAGGAAAUGGCUAGAGUGUGACGGUACCUUAUGAGAAAGCCACGGCUAACUACGUGCCAGCAGCCGCGGUAAUACGUAGGUGGCGAGCGUUAUCCGGAAUUAUUGGGCGUAAAGAGCGCGCAGGUGGUUGAUCAAGUCUGAUGUGAAAGCCCACGGCUUAACCGUGGAGGGUCAUUGGAAACUGGUCGACUUGAGUGCAGAAGAGGGAAGUGGAAUUCCAUGUGUAGCGGUGAAAUGCGUAGAGAUAUGGAGGAACACCAGUGGCGAAGGCGGCUUCCUGGUCUGUAACUGACACUGAGGCGCGAAAGCGUGGGGAGCAAACAGGAUUAGAUACCCUGGUAGCCCACGCCGUAAACGAUGAGUGCUGAGUGUUGGGGGUCGAACCUCAGUGCUGAAGUUAACGCAUUAAGCACUCCGCCUGGGGAGUACGGUCGCAAGACUGAAACUCAAAGGAAUUGACGG